Molecule: long non-coding RNA, 218 nt
Filed under: Lathyrus oleraceus (garden pea)
Lineage: Eukaryota; Viridiplantae; Streptophyta; Magnoliopsida; Fabales; Fabaceae
Description: Pisum sativum (pea) long non-coding RNA (PSAT_LNC003736)
Source: RNAcentral
UCGGAUCAUUAUGUUCAAUGGGUUUAAGAAUCAACCUGCAUAAUGAUUUUGAUAUGAAAAGCUUUUUGAAAAUCAAACAAGACAAUCGUUAUGCAGAUGAAAAGAUUGUUUUUAUUCUUGUUUUUUAGGGUUUUUUUGUGAUCACCAAUUUCAUGCAAAAAGCAAAAAGGGAAAACAAAUGGAAAACAAAUGUUUAAACAUGCUUUAUUUGAAUGAAA